RNAcentral lists this long non-coding RNA (206 nucleotides) under Mytilus galloprovincialis (Mediterranean mussel). The record is from RNAcentral. Lineage: Eukaryota; Metazoa; Mollusca; Bivalvia; Mytilida; Mytilidae.
CCAGAAAAAAGCUGCCUACUCAAAUUUUUUUAUUAUCCUGAUUUGAAGAAGUUUUUUUUUAAUCAGAUAGGCAUGAAGACUAAUAAACACCCAAUACCUCAAUUUCUCUUUUUGAAAAAAAAAGAAAAUGCCUACCUACCUACCUACCCACUGUCUCAACCUUUGGGUAGGGUUUGGGCAAACCAAAAUAUUUUUAAUUGUGGCCC